This 528-nucleotide ribosomal RNA is filed under the name uncultured bacterium. Its description in RNAcentral is "bacterial SSU rRNA". It matches the Rfam family "Bacterial small subunit ribosomal RNA", at positions 777 to 1305 of the family's 1533-position model. The record is from RNAcentral.
AAUAGAUACCCAGGUAGUCCAUGCCGUAAACGUUGGGCGCUAGGUGUGGGGCUCAUUCCACGAGUUCCGUGCCGCAGCAAACGCAUUAAGCGCCCCGCCUGGGGAGUACGGCCGCAAGGCUAAAACUCAAAGGAAUUGACGGGGGCCCGCACAAGCGGCGGAGCAUGCGGAUUAAUUCGAUGCAACGCGAAGAACCUUACCAAGGCUUGACAUGGGGUGAAAACCGGCAGAGAUGUCGGGUCCGCAAGGGCGCCUCACAGGUGGUGCAUGGUUGUCGUCAGCUCAUGUCGUGAGAUGUUGGGUUAAGUCCCGCAACGAGCGCAACCCUGUUCUAUGUUGCCAGCACGUAAUGGUGGGGACUCAUAGGAGACUGCCGGGGUCAACUCGGAGGAAGGUGGGGAUGACGGUCAAAUCAUCAUGCCCCUUAUGUCUUGGGCUUCACGCAUGCUACAAUGGCCAGUACAAAGGGCUGCGAGACCGUGAGGUGGAGCGAAUCCCAAAAAGCUGGUCUCAGUUCGGAUUGGGGUC